GCCUCGCCGGUGUAGUGGUAGUAACACGUGUCCUCGGUAUGGAUGAAAAGCGGGUUCGAUUUCCGCCUGAGGCC
This is a non-coding RNA of Parelaphostrongylus tenuis, 74 nucleotides long. NCBI's taxonomy places the organism in Eukaryota, Metazoa, Nematoda, Chromadorea, Rhabditida, Metastrongylidae. The record is from the annotation of a GenBank genome assembly.